Molecule: ribosomal RNA, 547 nt
Filed under: uncultured Mortierellaceae
Lineage: Eukaryota; Fungi; Mortierellomycota; Mortierellomycetes; Mortierellales; Mortierellaceae
Description: eukaryotic LSU rRNA
Rfam family: 5.8S ribosomal RNA (bases 156-307)
Source: RNAcentral
AGGCCUUUAUAAAAAUCCAUAUCCACCUUGUGUGCAAUGUCAUCUCACUGGAGGUCGCGGCUGUAAAAAUCCGUUGGCCACCUUUGGGAUUUAUAUCUACUCAGAACUUUAGUGAUUUUGUCUGAACCAUAUUAUGAAUACUUAAUUCAAAAUACAACUUUCAACAACGGAUCUCUUGGCUCUCGCAUCGAUGAAGAACGCAGCGAAAUGCGAUACGUAAUGUGAAUUGCAGAAUUCAGUGAAUCAUCGAAUCUUUGAACGCAUAUUGCGCUCUGGUAUUCCGGAGAGCAUGCUUGUUUGAGUAUCAGUAAACACCUCAACUCCCUUUUCUUUUUUGAAAUGGGAGCUGGACUUGAGUGAUCCCAACGCUUCUCUCACCGAGAAGUGGCGGGUUACUUGAAAUGCAGGUGCAGCUGGACUUUUCUCUGAGCUAUAAGCAUAUCUAUUUAGUCUGCCUAAAAAACAGAUUAUUACCUUUGCUGCAGCUAACAUAAAGGAGAUUAGUUCUUAUGCUGACUGAUGCAGGAUUCACAGAGACAGCUUCGGC